ACAGGGAUUGCCUUAGUAACGGCGAGUGAAGCGGCAAAAGCUCAAAUUUGAAAUCGGCGCCUUUUAGGUGUUCGAGUUGUAAUUUGGAGAAGCAACUUUUUGUAUCAGCUCUGGCGGAAGUCUCUUGGAACAGUGCGCCAUAGAGGGUGAGAGCCCCGUUCCACCGGAGGACUGGUACAUUGCAAAGUGCUUUCAAAGAGUCGAGUUGUUUGGGAAUGCAGCUCUAAGUGGGUGGUAAAUUCCAUCUAAAGCUAAAUAUUGGCGAGAGACCGAUAGCGAACAAGUACAGUGAUGGAAAGAUGAAAAGCACUUUGAAAAGAGAGUGAAAAAGUACGUGAAAUUGCUGAAAGGGAAGGGCUUGAAAUCAGACUUGGCUUGCUGCCAUCAUCCAUCUCUUGGGGUGGUGUACUGGUAGCUUGCUGGGCCAGCAUGGGUUUGGAGGGAGUCAUAAUGUUCAAAGAAUGUGGCUUGAUGCUUCGGUAUUCGAGUGUUAUAGCUUUGUUCGAUAGCUCCACUCCGGAUCGAGGACUGCUAAUACAGGAUGCUGGCGUAAUGGUUUUAAGCCACCCGUCUUGAAACACGGACCAAGGAGUCUAACGUCUAUGCGAGUGUUUGGGUGUAAAACCCGUACGCGUAAUGAAAGUGAACGUAGAUGAGAGCCGCAAGGUGCAUCAUCGACCGAUCCUGAUCUUCUGGGAUGGAUUUGAGUAAGAGCAUAGCUGUUGGGACCCGAAAGAUGGUGAACUAUGCCUGAAUAGGGUGAAGCCAGAGGAAACUCUGGUGGAGGCUCGUAGCGGUUCUGACGUGCAAAUCGAUCGUCAAAUUUGGGUAUAGGGGCGAAAGACUAAUCGAACCAUUAACUAUAUGUAGUGAAGCUACUAGGUGGUUAAGAGGCGCUGGUAUGUUAGCAGCGUCUAGUCCAAAUCUAUGGGCAAGAUCAUCAAAUUGCUGGAACACCCUAAAGACAACAGUACUAACUUGGGUUGGAAACAACUCGAGGGCGGUUUUAACAGCCGGGAGUGAAAAUCUGUUUGUAUGAAGUCGCUAAGACGGAAAUGGGCAAUCAGCAGCCAAGUCCUAAGUCGCGAGAUAUGGAUGCAGUUCAGAGACUAGAUGGUGAUCGGUCUUAAAUAUCUUUAAGGCUUAAGAUAUAGUCCAUCCCUACUGAAA
This 1170-nucleotide ribosomal RNA is filed under the name Groenewaldozyma tartarivorans. RNAcentral describes it as "LSU rRNA". It matches the Rfam family "Eukaryotic large subunit ribosomal RNA", at positions 68 to 1113 of the family's 3401-position model. The record is from RNAcentral. Lineage: Eukaryota; Fungi; Ascomycota; Dipodascomycetes; Dipodascales; Trichomonascaceae.